Molecule: ribosomal RNA, 490 nt
Filed under: uncultured bacterium
Lineage: Bacteria
Description: partial 16S ribosomal RNA
Rfam family: Bacterial small subunit ribosomal RNA
Source: RNAcentral
AUUGAACGCUGGCGGCAGGCCUAACACAUGCAAGUCGAACGGUAACAGGAAGCAGCUUGCUGCUUCGCUGACGAGUGGCGGACGGGUGAGUAAUGUCUGGGAAGCUGCCUGAUGGAGGGGGAUAACUACUGGAAACGGUAGCUAAUACCGCAUAAUGUCGCAAGACCAAAGAGGGGGACCUUCGGGCCUCUUGCCAUCGGAUGUGCCCAGAUGGGAUUAGCUUGUUGGUGGGGUAACGGCUCACCAAGGCGACGAUCCCUAGCUGGUCUGAGAGGAUGACCAGCCACACUGGGACUGAGACACGGUCCAGACUCCUACGGGAGGCAGCAGUGGGGAAUAUUGCACAAUGGGCGCAAGCCUGAUGCAGCCAUGCCGCGUGUAUGAAGAAGGCCUUCGGGUUGUAAAGUACUUUCAGCGGGGAGGAAGGGAGUAAAGUUAAUACCCUUGCUCAUUGACGUUACCCGCAGAAGAAGCACCGGCUAACUCCGUG